UGCAUUUAUUACACAUUCACGGUAAGACACACAGAAGGAUCAGUCACAUAAAUAACAAAAAUAGCAUGAGGAUAAGGAAGUGGCCCAGACGAAACAGAUGUGAUCUUCAUCUGGCCCAUAUGUACUAUAAGUACUGUAAAUAUAUAUGGGCCUGUAACUUUGCAGUGGUUUAAGUUAUGUUUAAUCUGGAUGUCAUUGAAUAAACCUUUUUUGUCAGUAAAUGAUGAUGAUCCAGACAAGUCAAAAUGUAUGCCUACUUUAACCCAGAAAGCAAGUUUACAAAUUGAAGGCCCUUUUUAUUGCAACAAUACAAUUGUCCUCUAUAAUUAAGAUUUGCUCUUUUAUUCUACAGCUCUUCAUUUGUUUUCAAGAGCUAAACAUACAGCACCAACUGCUGUCAAGAGAAAUGUUAGCUAAAAAAGGCAAAUAGAUAAGAUAUAAAUAGCAGAAAGCACUAAUAGCCCAUUAUCAAGUAGCAGUAGUAGUAGCACUUAUCAAUACAUGCCUAUCUAAAUAUGACAACAAAGAUUAUUUCUAAAGUUAGAACAGAAAUGCUUAGAUAAAGUUAAUAAAGUUAGUGUCAGUAACAGGCAAUCCAACUAUUUAAUUAUCGUUACAACGCCGUUAACCGUUACUGACAAUUAAACAGAAGCGCUGUUUUUGUGGCGAAAGGAAGGAUGAGAUAACAGCAUACCUGAUGAUGAUUGGCUAAGGCAGAGUAAGCUUUCGUGGUAAGCCAAUCAGAGGCAGUGUUUUAACCAAAUCAUACACACGCAGCCGGCUCGCACACCUGAACUAGCAGAGAUAAGCGGCAACAACGGCGAGGAAAAGUUGGCGUUUUAAAAAUUGAAAUAAAGACAAUACUUCAGUCUCCUACAGGAUGCCUGCUGCCACCAUACCCAGGCCGGACACCAGGUACGGCAGCAGGACCUGGGCUGCAAUCAUCCAGGAGUUCUCCGGCAGGAAGCCAUGAGCUGAGCGGGUCAGUCUGCAGCGGAAUCCCCUCAGCUUCUGCCCCUGGAAACGCAGCUCCAGAGCCAGAUUAUUUUAGGAUGAAGACUGUGUGACUGACCUGUGCCUGGUCCAGUAGCAUGCCAGCUGUAACCAUUCCAAGCCCUGCUAGCAGGUACGAAGGCAACACCUGGAAGCAGAUCAGCCUGGACGACUCUCUGGAUGAAGUGUGGAGCUUCUCCUCCCCCAUGGUACCAGGACACCAACACCUGCUGCUGCUGGUGCUACUAAUGCUGCUGCUGUGCCACCAGUGUGUCACCAAACAAACACUCUACUGCCAAGUAGAGGAGACAGUCGCUACUAAUCCAUCAGACUGUUUACCUGUCCUGAGCCAACGUCACAUCUGACUCAGCUUGAUGUUUUACUACAGUAUGUCUGAAAACAGAACCCUGUAUCCCUGUAUGUUGUCAAUGAAUGUGUUAACUGCAACCAAACAACAGUUACAAACUGUCCAGUCACAGCAACAAGGUGACAGUGCAAGCAGAGUACAGUGUGUGUGAGGACAACUCUUUACAGAUGUUCCAGCCUGUUUCCAACAUAGCUGAGAAAAUGAAUCAUAAUUUAAGGGUCCACUCUGCAGUGUCUUGAGUCUUUUUAUGCUAUUAAUGUAGUAUGCUAGUACCCAGUUGUUUUAUAUUUCCAACCUUUUUUCUCCAUAGUAUAAAAUAUGGUUUCCCAACCUUUUUUGAGCGACACCAUACAGUAUACAUUAGCAUGAAAACCCCCACGGUGCUCCACCAACCAAAGAUCUCACAAGAAGUAUAUGUAAUGAAAUAUAAUAAUAUUCAAGUUUAAAUGUACUACACAUGCACUCCUGUUUAGUUGAAGACAACACUGAUAUACUGGCAGGAAUUGAAGAAAAAGACAAAAAUCUUCAACAGCUAUGAUGAUUUGUUUUGGUUUUAAUAACUAACUGCUGCCCCCUAGCGGAAGAAGAUUUAAUUACUGUGCCUGUCACAUUGACAAGCAAAGAAAAU
Long non-coding RNA from Cynoglossus semilaevis (tongue sole), 1988 nucleotides. RefSeq lists it as uncharacterized. The transcript has 3 exons. The record is from RefSeq and is a predicted model, not a curated record. NCBI's taxonomy places the organism in Eukaryota, Metazoa, Chordata, Actinopteri, Pleuronectiformes, Cynoglossidae.